Molecule: unclassified non-coding RNA, 117 nt
Organism: Pongo abelii (Sumatran orangutan)
Lineage: Eukaryota; Metazoa; Chordata; Mammalia; Primates; Hominidae
Rfam family: Metazoan signal recognition particle RNA
About the family: The signal recognition particle (SRP) is a universally conserved ribonucleoprotein. It is involved in the co-translational targeting of proteins to membranes.
Source: Ensembl
GCUGGGCACGGUGACUCAUGCCUGUAAUCCCAGCACUCUGGGAGGCCGAGGUGGGCGGAUCACCUGAGGUCAGGAGUUCUAGACCAGCCUGGCCAACAUGGUGAAAUCCCAUCUCUA